Molecule: non-coding RNA, 26 nt
Filed under: Mus musculus (house mouse)
Lineage: Eukaryota; Metazoa; Chordata; Mammalia; Rodentia; Muridae
Source: RNAcentral
UAAGAAAGGCACUUCUCUUUCCUUCC